ACUGAAUAGAUACCCGGGUAGUCCCAGCCGUAAACGAUGCUCGCUAGGUGUCAGGCAUGGCGCGACCGUGUCUGGUGCCGCAGGGAAGCCGUGAAGCGAGCCACCUGGGAAGUACGGCCGCAAGGCUGAAACUUAAAGGAAUUGGCGGGGGAGCACAACAACGGGUGGAGCCUGCGGUUUAAUUGGACUCAACGCCGGACAACUCACCGGGGGCGACAGCAAUAUGUAGGCCAAGCUGAAGACUUUGCCUGAAUCGCUGAGAGGAGGUGCAUGGCCGUCGCCAGUUCGUACUGUGAAGCAUCCUGUUAAGUCAGGCAACGAGCGAGACCCGUGCCCACUGUUACCAGCAUGUCCUCCGGGACGAUGGGUACUCUGUGGGGACCGCCGAUGUUAAAUCGGAGGAAGGUGCGGGCCACGGUAGGUCAGUAUGCCCCGAAUCUCCCGGGCUACACGCGGGCUACAAUGGAUGGGACAAUGGGUCCCUCCCCUGAAAAGGGCUGGUAAUCUCACAAACCCAUUCGUAGUUCGGAUCGAGGGCUGUAAC
Molecule: ribosomal RNA, 544 nt
Filed under: uncultured bacterium
Lineage: Bacteria
Description: bacterial SSU rRNA
Rfam family: Archaeal small subunit ribosomal RNA
Source: RNAcentral